UUCAGAUACAGAUGCUUGGGAUCUGGAGUUGCAAGUCCACAUCAUUGGUUGAGUGUUCAAGAAUAGAGAAGAGCAUCAUCAGAUACUGGAUGACAGAAAGACGCACCAGAGAGAACCAAUGGGAAAAGAUAGAAAGAGAAAUGGGGGUUCUGGUUUCUAGUCUCAUCUCUUCAUGAACUUCCUCAACAACUGCAGGCACGGUACUCAAACUCCCUUUAUCUCAGCUUAUUCAUCUGAUUCUGAGUGUGGAGGGACAGACAGGAAAAAAGAAGGAGGAACAUUUUCCCUCUCAGAUCUAAGAGAAGAAUGUCAUUUACUGAUCAAAGAGAGGCAUGUUUUCGGGGCUGUGCCAAUGAAAGUUUCAAAGCUGCACUUUGGAAUAGAACGGGCACUUAACCCUUUCCUGGGAAAAGGUUUGUGUGAAUCAGGACAAGACCCAAAGAUAAUUGAUUUUGAUUGGAAUAUCUAGCUAGAAGUUAGGGAGUCUUACAAAUUAAAGUUAAGUACUGCUUAAUUUUAAAACAACUUUUAAAAAUCUGUGUAUGUGUUAAAAUUGUAAAUUUAACCAAAUUAUAUGAGACUCUUAUUGAUAAGAAGAAAUCAUAGAGAGCUAUGGGUAAAUUGACGAACUAUGGGUUCCUUCCAAAAUUGUGAAACCGAGAUUUGAACUAAAUUAAAACAUGCUCUUAAGUGUGAUAAUUGGGGUAGAGUAAAUAUCAGACUGCCACUAGAUUGGCUGGAAAUAGUAGACCUCAUAAUAUAAAAUGUUCACAAAAUGUAGCAGUUGUGCAAAAUACAAUAUUGGAGUUAGUAUUAAAAU
Phascolarctos cinereus (koala) is the source of this 820-nucleotide non-coding RNA. NCBI's taxonomy places the organism in Eukaryota, Metazoa, Chordata, Mammalia, Diprotodontia, Phascolarctidae. The record is from RefSeq and is a predicted model, not a curated record.